UCUCAAUUGUAGUCAUUUGCCCCAUCUUCCCUUCCCCUUCAACUCUCUUUAGGUACCCUACUCUCUCUCUGCUUAAUUUUUUCUCUUUAAGUCUAAGAAUUUUGAUAUUUAAAUACAGUAAUUAUCAAAAUUAUUAAUGUAUAUUUUAAAAGAUUUGUACUUUUUGUUUCUUGGGGUCUUUUAUCUGUUGGUGAGAGUAGUAAAGUGCAAAUAUCUCCUAGCUUGAGAGUUAUGAACUCAAAGCUAGGGACUUUGGUGCUUUGCGAAAGAAUUUAUAUCAAUGGGUUGCCAAGGCCUAAACACUUGAACAAGUUUUCCCAUUCUUUGAAGCUCAAACUCUCACCUUCUAACUCCAGUUUUCGCAGACCCCACGUUAAGGUAUGUUUUCACAGGUGAGUUUUUCUUUUACGAAAAUGGCAAUGCUUUUGACUGCCUUUUCUUACCUAGGCAUUAGGCACUAGCUUUUGAGCUGGAAAUUUAAGAGCCAUUGAUGUAUUUUCUUUGCCGGAACGCGUCUCGUGCGAUAGGGAUGUGCCCCCAGGAAAUGUGGGAGAAGAUUGAUAAGGGUGGUUCGUGGGUUCGAUCCAUGUCACCUUUCGACCGCAAGUUGUUAGAUAAAAGAAUGGCUGGUGUAUCCUCAGAAACCCUUGAGCUGUCGAUUGAAGAGGGUUGGUUUUACCAUUUCUGUUCUACCUGUUGUUUUCAGGAGUAACAUCUCAGGUUUUUGGUACUUCAUUUUUAUGUUAGCAAUUUGUUUUGCUAUUGUUCUGCAAUUUUCUUGUAUCGUCUGAUAUUCUUAAUAUUGGGUGUCAUUAUGCUGAGCGUCACAUCCACUUUGAGCAGGUCUUUGGUAUUUUACUACAGCAGUAGCAUGGCGAUUGGGACCAACCUUGUAAUACGUGUGGUUCUUUUUCAGGGAAUGGAGCUCCUGCCAACAGGUCAAAAGAGCUCGCUUAUUUUAUGAUCGUUGCUGUUCAGAUUGGUUUGGGAACUUUUCUCUUUCGUUUCUUGCCUGGAUUGUUGCAUUCAAUACUCAUGGAGAUGGGAAUAAGCAAAGACAUGCACUAUCCUGUAUGUAAUUUGUAAGUAUUAUGAUAUUGGGCUUGUAUCUCUGUUCUAGAGAAGAUUAUGGUUCUCCUUUGCUUUUGUAAACUAGUUAACAUUUAGGCUCUGUGCAUUUUUACAAGUCUGAAGCUGUAAACUUUGUUACAAAAAAAAGCAGUUGUUUCCUGGAUGCGAGCAAGGAUCCUUAUGUUUAUAGAUCACGUAUGUAAGGCUACCGUAAUUCUCUCUGGUGAUAUGUUUCCAUAGAAGCACUCAACUAAGGGUCCUUAUGUUUAUAGAUCACACAAGGUUGAAAUUGCUAUGAUAAUAGUUUAAAUUAAUACCGGAUCCUGUUUACGCUUCGACGGAGCUGAUAUUUCAUCAUGGAACAACUUUAUAGAGUUAUUGCAUCUGUUUGAUGCUCUCAAUCACUACAAAAUGCUUAGCCAAUCUGUGGCCAAUGGUUUUAAUCCAUGGGCCAAACUCCUUCAUGCAGUUGACUGUAGAUUACAUUUUUCAAGCAACUGAAAAAGCUAUUGAACCACACAUUCUUGUUUGUUUCAUUAUCCUCUGCUGACUGUGCUUAAUAAGCUUGUUGAAACUGUCCAGCUUCAUGCCUGUGCUGGCAGACAAGGUUCUGCUCAUAGAUAUUCUUUGUUGGAUACUAUCUUAAUCUUGUUAGUAUCUGUGAAAACUCAAACUUUCACCUGUGAGAACCUAGUUUCUUGUUACUGAUGAACUUCCUUGCCAACCUUGUUAGAGGAGUGUCUAGUUCUUUUCUGGACAUGCCUGUACCAUGCUACUUAGUGAUUACACACUUGUCAACAUCUAGUGGUUACAUCUUUGUCUAUACCAUGUUAGAGGGGUCUCUUUUGAAGUGCGAGUAUGUACCUGCAAUAAGUUAAAUUGACAACAUAUGACCAGUGAAGACAAAAACUGUACCACCUUGCAUCAGACCCAUCUUUUUUCUAUUAUAUGUUGCUCUUACAGGAUCCGGUUGAGGACUCUGUUGUUAACAUGUUUUCUGCUAUCAGUGCGUGUCAGAAUACUUGACAGGAGAUGAUAAUACUUGCCCUGCUUCUGAUGCAAAGAGCAACUUGGUUCCGAUGUUGUUUUCUCUGAAGCGACUCUUAGAAGAAGAAUCUCCGACAGCCUUGAUGCUAGUUCCUCAAAUUCCACAUUUGAUGAUACAUUGAUAGUCCUUCAGCACGUGUAUAGUUCCUCAAAAAUCAAAGCUGUUUUUGAGGUUCAAUCCCAUUGUAAGGUAGAGAGUCCAAUUUCAGGAUUUAAUGGUUCUAAGGGAUCCAGUGCUAUGUCAAUGGCAUAUUCGAACUCGUCAACUGAAGGACGAAUAAAAGCAAUUGUUUUCUCCCAGUGGAUUAGCAUGUCGGAUUUGGUUGAAAUUUCACUGAAUCAGUUUUGCAUCCAGUAUAGGAGGCUUGACGGGACACUGACUCUGAGUUCAAGAAACAGGGUUGUUAAAGAUUUCAACACUGAUCCCAAGGUCACUGUGAUGCUGAUGUCCUUAAAGGCAGGAAACCUUGGUUUGAACAUGGUUGCUGCAUGUCAUGAAAUCCUUCUGGAUCUUUGGUGCAAUCCAACAACUGAGGAUCAGGCUGUUGAUCGAGCUCAUAGAAUUGCACAGGUUCGUACCAUAAAAGACACCCUAGAAGAUAGAAUAUUAGCUCUUCUGGUAUUAUUUCUUUCUACAAGCAUUGAUUCUGUCUUAUGUUUUUGGAUAACUGUUUUAUCUUGUUCUUGCCUUUUGGUUGCUGGAGAGUCUGGAUCAUGUGUUGCUAGGGUUAAGGACAGAAUUUUUUUUCCAACUAAUUAUGAAUCUUUAGUUUCCCAUUUUGUUAUCUCUUCUAAAUAUCAUAAACCGACAACAAUCCAGAAAAGCCAGGAAGUCUGUCUGGGAGUUAGGAGGGUUUCUGUUAAUUUAUCCAUGUUGAGGUUGUCAUGCCUUGCACAGUAUAAAUCCAAGAGAAUUGCCUUCUGCUUUAUUUAUAUCGAGGGAAGUGAUUACAGAUAAACAUCAUCGAGGAUUGAUGAUACUUGCAAUAAAAUAUGAGUACAUCACAUCAAGGUGGAAGGCAAGUAUUGAAACAAAAGGGUUAUUAGUUGAUUAUGGUCCUGCGGAAGCAGCUCUUAGUGUUAAAUUUGGAAACAGCAUUACCAUUUGACAUUUCAUCUUCAAAUGGCUACUCUUUACCUGACAUCCACAUUAAUCUCAUUAAACUUAUCAAGAAGGCAACAAAUUGCACUUUCAGGGUGGUAGAUGGGCAUGACAGUUACACAGGUGCCAGAGGCUGAAGCCUUUGUAAAUGAUAGAGAAUAUCACUUGUAAUCUUGAAGUAAUGUGCAUUUCUCUGUGUUCUUAUAUUCGAAAAUUUGACUAUGGUUUUCAAAGAUAAUUUUCUUUGCUGGUGACCACAAUUUGCAGGAAGAGAGGAGAAAAAUGGUUGCAUCUGCAUUUGGCGAAGAUCAAAGUGGGGGUUCAGCUACUCGUCUUACUGUGGAAGAUCUCAAAUAUCUAUUUAUGUUCUAGGAGAACCCCCCAGUUAAUUCACUUCGCUUCUCGUUGCCAUCUAUUUCUAACUAAGGAAAAGAGUCCAAGAAUUUUGAACAGUUAGGAAGCCAGGAGGAAACCAAUGGCUGCGCUUGUGAACGCCUGCCCAUGUUGUAGCUCAAAUCAAAAUCGUAGGGACUGGCAUGUUUUUGGGCGUUUUCUUUCUUGUUUUACGAGGGCCAUAAUUGGCAUUUAUGUUCUCUCAUCAAGUGCAGAGGACACCGAAGGCAGAAAUAUUUGUAAAUAUUAUUAUAAUUGCCUAUAAUAUAUGAAGCAAUUAGUUUGUGCAAAUGCAUCAAGUGUGUGGAGUGUGUACUAUCUAAAUACAGGUUCACAGACCUGGUCAUGAACUACUGGUUUGAAGGCAGAUGGAAGAAGAGGAAAAUGUUUACAGUGGUGGGAUCUUGGUUGCUUCUCUUGGAGUUUUCAUUCGAAUGGCUUCGUCUAUUGUUUUGGUGAGCUUGUGUUGAUCCAGUUUCAAAUUUGGUUCCUGUCCUUUUUUCGGAUCUGCGCUUUUUGGAUCAUCUCUUAAUUUUUAUUUCUACAUUUGCGUUGUUUUUCAAUGGAUUUUCUCGCCCUUCUCAUUUGCAGAAUUUCCAGCUGAACCAACUACAUUUAUCCAGCCUGACAAACACUAUUGUGAAUAAGCUUCAAAUAACCAUUCCAUGGCAUCCUUUAGUCUUCGAGGUCGUAGUCUUCGAGGUCCGACUGCAAAUAUGAUAGUUAAAAUAGCCAACUUGGUAUUAGUUUUGGAAACAUGAACAACGCUAAACUACAAAUUGCAGAAUGAAUGCCUUUUUU
RNA transcript from Populus euphratica (Euphrates poplar), 4414 nucleotides. RefSeq lists it as uncharacterized. The transcript has 5 exons. NCBI's taxonomy places the organism in Eukaryota, Viridiplantae, Streptophyta, Magnoliopsida, Malpighiales, Salicaceae. The record is from RefSeq and is a predicted model, not a curated record.